UACCAGCUCUCCGAGUUGUAGGGAUGAUUAUUGGGCUUAAAGCGUCCGUAGCUGGCUUAGCAAGUCUCCUGUUAAAUUCAGCGACCUAAUCGUUGAGCCGCGGGAGAUACUACUAGGCUAGGAGGCGGGAGAGGUCGACGGUACUUUCGGGGUAGGGGUGAAAUCCUAUAAUCCCGGGAGGACCACCAGUGGCGAAGGCUGUCAACUAGAACGCGCUCGACGGUGAGGGACGAAAGCUGGGGGAGCGAACCGGAUUAGAUACCCGGGUAGUCCCAGCUGUAAACUAUGCGGGCUAGGUGUUGGGGUGGCUACGGGCCACUUCAGUGCCGCAGGAAAGCCAUUAAGCCCGCCGCCUGGGGAGUACGGCCGCAAGGCUGAAACUUAAAGGAAUUGGCGGGGAGCACCACAAGGCGUGAAGCUUGCGGUUC
This 428-nucleotide ribosomal RNA is filed under the name uncultured archaeon. RNAcentral describes it as "bacterial SSU rRNA". It matches the Rfam family "Archaeal small subunit ribosomal RNA", at positions 474 to 903 of the family's 1478-position model. The record is from RNAcentral.